GAUGAACGCUAGCGACAGGCCUAACACAUGCAAGUCGAGGGGCAUCGGGACGUAGCAAUACGUUGCCGGCGACCGGCGGAUGGGUGAGUAACGCGUAUGCAACCUACCCGUAGCAGGGGGAUAGCCCGUUGAAAGACGGAUUAAUACCCCGUAACACAGGGGCUCCGCAUGGAGAUUAUUGUUAAAGGGUCAUUUCUUUUUCAGGGAUGGUCCGGCUGCGGAUGGGCAUGCGUUCCAUUAGGUAGUUGGUGUAGGUAACUGCUCACCAAGCCGACGAUGGAUAGGGGAACUGAGAGGUUGGUCCCCCAACUGGUACUGAGACACGGACCAGACUCCUACGGGAGCAGCAGUGAGGAAUUUUGGCAAUGGACGCAAGUCUGAACCAGCCAUGUCGCGUGAAGGAGGACGGCCCUAAGGGUUGUAAACUUCUUUGCAGUGGAAUAAAGUUUGCCACGUGUUGGCGAUUUGCAAGUACGCUGCGAAUAAGGAUCGGCUAACUCCGUGCCAGCCCG
RNAcentral lists this ribosomal RNA (512 nucleotides) under uncultured bacterium. RNAcentral describes it as "bacterial SSU rRNA". It matches the Rfam family "Bacterial small subunit ribosomal RNA", at positions 28 to 517 of the family's 1533-position model. The record is from RNAcentral.